UACGGGGGGGGCAAGCGUUGUUCGGAAUUACUGGGCGUAAAGUGUGCGCAGGCGGCCGAGCAAGUCGAGUGUGAAAGCCCCGGGCUUAACUUGGGAAUUGCGCUCGAAACUACUUGGCUGGAGUGUGGCAGAGGAAGGUGGAAUUCCAGGUGUAGCGGUGAAAUGCGUAGAGAUCUGGAGGAACACCGAUGGCGAAGGCAGCCUUCUGGGCCAACACUGACGCUCACGCACGAAAGCGUGGGGAGCAAACAGG
This 253-nucleotide ribosomal RNA is filed under the name uncultured bacterium. Its description in RNAcentral is "partial 16S ribosomal RNA". It matches the Rfam family "Bacterial small subunit ribosomal RNA", at positions 524 to 776 of the family's 1533-position model. The record is from RNAcentral.